CCGGCUCAUCUUGUGUGAGGAUCACAGUUUUUGUUCCCCAAUAUCUAGCUCCACCCUGAGCACACAAGAAAUGGUCUCUUGGAAGACACAGCCACGAAGGACCAMCAGAGUCCAGAGGAUGCCCUACUUGGAGCACUGGCUGCAUCCACCUGUCAGGAGCACCCCAAACUUGCAGACAGCAGCCUGACUUCUGUGGCUCCGGACCCCAUUCAGCCAUUUUUGAGUUUACAUAAAUGGAAUUCUGACCGACGCAUCCUUUCGUCUUCUUGUGCUCAGUAUUAUGUGUGUGACGUUCAUCCUUUUCUUCCUUUUUUUUAGGUGGUGUGGGGGAUGAACCCCAAGCCUCCGGGUGCCAGCAGUGGUCUGCCGCUGCAUCCUCAAUCUUGACCCAUUUUUUACACAAAGCAGUUUUUCUUCUCUCAUGUUGUGUUGGAUAAAGACGCCCAGUUCAGCUCCUUCCUGUGCGGACGCCGGUGCGGAGUCCGCUCUGGGACUGUCACACGCAGUGCCGUGAGGAGCCUCUCUGACCACAGCUGCACCACCUCCAGGCGGAGUUUCGGUGAGGAACAGGCCCGGAGUGGAACCGCCGGUGCGGGGCGGGCGACUCCACGAGGCGCCUUCCAGCGCUCACCCUGACUCACACCCCGCGCCCGGCCCGGCCGCCGCCCGAGGAAACACGAGAGGUCGGGGCGAAGGAGGAGGUCGACGAGGGACUGAGUCCGCGGGGGGGGGGGUGGCGUCCCACGCACGGCGCUGACGUCGCGGGGCGGCGCGGGGUGGAAGGUCGUGAGCUCCCGCUCCCUUCCUCACGGCGGCCGGCCGGUCGAGCCGGGACCUCUCGGGACGCCAACAUCCGGGUGCCGAGGGGCGCAGGCGCAGUCGCCGCAAACAUGGCUGCGGCCGGCCGCCGGCGAAACGCAGCCAGACUGUGCGGGGACUCCCAGACUGACCCGUGCCCUGGCGCCCUGAGAUCGCCGCGCCUUUCCUGGGGUCCAUCCUUUUGGCCACGCGUGAUCCGUCUUCUGUGCUGCACUUCAGAGUAAGUUGUAGAUGACACUUGUCAGACACCUUCCUCUGCUUMGCAUGGGUUAGAGUUCAGGAUUGUUUCUAAUUUUUUAAGGAAAAACUGACUUUCAGUGAAAUGCCUAGAUCUUCGUGGCAUAGUCGGACUGAUUUUGACAAAAUUACCACCAUGGAAAGAUCCCUUAUUCUUUGCCAAUUUAAAAAAUGUGGUUGGUAGGAACUAGGCUUGAAAAAAUUUUUUUUCAGUAUAGAGAAUUGAACCCAGGGCCUUGUACAUGUUAGGAAUGCUCCACUGAGCAGGACCCCAGCCCUAAAAAUGUUUUAAGUACCAUGCUUUGUUCUUCCCUCCCCUAUAACAGGUAAAUUAUUCUUUUCUUUCUCUCUCUCUCUCUCUCUUUCUUUCUUUUUCUUUUUUUUUUUUUUUUGGUAGUAUUGAACCCAAGGGCACUUAACCACUGAACCAUAUCCCCAGACCUUUUUAGUACUUUUUUUUCGUGGGGGUAGGUACCUGGGAUUAAACCCAGGGGCGCUCCACCAUUGAGCCACAUACCCAGCCCUAUUUUUUUGUAUUUUAUUUAGAGACAGGGUCUCAAUGAGUUCCUUAGUGCCUUGCUGUUGCUGAGGUUGGCUUUGAACUUGCAAUCCUCUGCCUCAGCCUCCGGAGUGGCUCGGAUUACAGGCGUGCACCACUGUGCCCGACUUAGUUUUUAUUUUGAGACAGGGUUUUGCUUAGUUACUGAGGCUGGCUUUGAACUUGCAAUCCUCCUGCCUCUGCCUCCUGAGCUGCUGGGAUUACAAGUGUGCCCCACUGUGCUCCGUGAAUUUUACUCUUUUUCUAUUGCUUGUUUUCUUUCUACACCUAGCUUUCCUGCCUCCUCCACUCCGUUCCCCCGCCCUUCCCCCCAGUCUUUUAUUUUUAAAGUUUUACACCUGCAAAAAAGCUGCAGGAACAGUUUAGUGAACACUUGUAAUGUCAUCCAGGUUCUCAGGUUAUUAACAGUUUACCACAUAAGCUUUACU
This 2043-nucleotide long non-coding RNA is filed under the name Urocitellus parryii (Arctic ground squirrel). RNAcentral's name for it is "lncRNA (ENSUPAG00010006385.1)". The record is from RNAcentral. Lineage: Eukaryota; Metazoa; Chordata; Mammalia; Rodentia; Sciuridae.